Molecule: long non-coding RNA, 969 nt
Filed under: Homo sapiens (human)
Lineage: Eukaryota; Metazoa; Chordata; Mammalia; Primates; Hominidae
Description: non-protein coding lnc-ZNF701-1:5
Source: RNAcentral
AAGCCUAUUAAAGAUCAGCUUGGAUCAAGCUUUCAUUCGCAUCUGCCUGAACUCCACAUGUUUCAGACCCAAGGGAAAAUUGGUAAUCAAGUGGAGAAGUCUAUCAAUGAUGCUUCCUCAGCUUCAACAUCCCAAAUAAUUUGUAGGCUCAAAACCCAUAUUUCUAUUAAGUAUGGGAAGAAUUUCCUCUAUUCUUCAUUAUUCACACAAAUACAAGAAGUACACAUGAGGGAAAAACCUUUCCAAUGUAAUGAGUGUGGCAAAGCCUUUAAUCAUAGCUCAUGUUUAAGGAGACAUCACGUAACCCAUUCAGGAGAGAAACAGUAUAAAUGUGAUGUAUGUGGCAAAGUCUUUCAUCAGAAGCAAUACCUUGCAUGGCACCAUAGUGUUCAUACUGGAGAAAAACCUUACAAGUGUAAUGAGUGUUCCAAGACCUUCAAUCAGAAAUCACAACUUGAAACACACAGGAGAAUUCAUACUGGAGAAAAACCAUACAAACGUAACGAAUGUGGCAAGGCUUUUAGUAGAAAAGCAAACCUUGCACAUCAUAAGGCAAUUCAUACUGGAAAGAAACCUUACACAUGUAAUGAAUGUGGCAAGGUUUCUAAUCAACAAUCAAACCUUGCACAACAUCAGAGAGUUUAUACUGGAGAGAAACCUUACAAAUGUAAUGAUUGUCACAAAGUCUUCAGUAAUGCUACAACCAUUGCAAAUCACUGGAGAAUCCAUAAUGAAGACAGAUCUUACAAGUGUAAUAAAUGUGGUAAAAUUUUCAGACAUCGAUCAUAUCUUGCAGUUUAUCAGCGAACUCAUACUGGAGAGAAACCUUACAAAUAUCAUGACUGUGGCAAGGUCUUCAGUCAAGCUUCAUCCUAUGCAAAACAUAGGAGAAUUCAUACAGGAGAGAAACCUCACAAGUGUGAUGAUUGUGGCAAAGUCUUGACUUCACGUUCACACCUCAUUAGACAU